GGGGCUGUAGCUCAAUUGGUAGAGCGCUUCCAUGGCAUGGAAGAGGUCGUCGGUUCGAUUCCGAUCAGCUCCA
This 73-nucleotide transfer RNA is filed under the name Candidatus Neomicrothrix parvicella. Its description in RNAcentral is "tRNA-Ala". It matches the Rfam family "tRNA". Rfam says of the family: Transfer RNA (tRNA) molecules are approximately 80 nucleotides in length. Their secondary structure includes four short double-helical elements and three loops (D, anti-codon, and T loops). The record is from RNAcentral. RNAcentral also lists the same sequence under 2 other names. Lineage: Bacteria; Bacillati; Actinomycetota; Acidimicrobiia; Acidimicrobiales; Microthrixaceae.